AAUCAGUUAUCGUUUAUUUGAUAGUACCUUACUACUUGGAUAACCGUGGUAAUUCUAGAGCUAAUACAUGCUGAAAACCUCGACUUCGKGAGAGGUGUAUUUAUUAGAUAAAAAACCAAUGCCCUCCGGGGCUCUUUGGUGAUUCAUGAUAACUUAACGGAUCGCAUGGCCUUGCGCCGGCGACGGUUCAUUCAAAUUUCUGCCCUAUCAACUUUCGAUGGUAAGGUAUUGGCUUACCAUGGUUUCAGCGGGUAACGGGGAAUUAGGGUUCGAUUCCGGAGAGGGAGCCUGAGAAACGGCUACCACAUCCAAGGAAGGCAGCAGGCGCGCAAAUUACCCAAUCCCGACACGGGGAGGUAGUGACAAUAAAUACUGAUACAGGGCUCUUUUGGGUCUUGUAAUCGGAAUGAGUACAAUUUAAACCUCUUAACGAGGAACAAUUGGAGGGCAAGUCUGGUGCCAGCAGCCGCGGUAAUUCCAGCUCCAAUAGCGUAUAUUAAAGUUGUUGCAGUUAAAAAGCUCGUAGUUGAAUYUUGGGCCUGGCUGGCCGGUCCGCCUCACCGCGUGUACUGGUCUGGCCGGGCCUUUCCUUCUGGAGAACCUCAUGCCCUUCAGUGGGCGUGCUGGGGAACCAGGACUUUUACUUUGAAAAAAUUAGAGUGUUCAAAGCAGGCCUUUGCUCGAAUACGUUAGCAUGGAAUAAUAGAAUAGGACGUGCGGUCCUAUUUUGUUGGUUUCUAGGACCGCCGUAAUGAUUAAUAGGGAUAGUCGGGGGCAUCAGUAUUCAAUUGUCAGAGGUGAAAUUCUUGGAUUUAUUGAAGACUAACUACUGCGAAAGCAUUUGCCAAGGAUGUUUUCAUUAAUCAGUGAACGAAAGUUAGGGGAUCGAAGACGAUCAGAUACCGUCGKAGUCUUAACCGUAAACUAUGCCGACUAGGGAUCGGGCGAUGUUUCAUUCUUGACUCGCUCGGCAC
This 974-nucleotide ribosomal RNA is filed under the name Leptoparies magnoliae. RNAcentral's name for it is "SSU rRNA". Lineage: Eukaryota; Fungi; Ascomycota; Dothideomycetes; Pleosporales; Lophiostomataceae. The record is from RNAcentral.